GGACAGUUGCCAUGGGAGGCCCACCGCUGGCUAAAAGGAAGAUGCUUGAUUUUUCUGAGCAUUGGAAGAGGAUUCCUGGAUUCGGAGUGGUGUGGCCACCAUGGUGCACCCUGUGCUGGUGGAUGGGUCAGGACGGGGCAGUUGCCUUGAGAGACCCACCAUGUGCUGCCGCAACAGAUGGUCGAUUCUUCCAAGCAGCGGAGUCCCCAUGGAGUCGUGGAGUCAGUGCGGCCUGGCAUCCAUGGUGCACCUCGUGCUGGCGGGUGGCUCAGAAUGGGGCAGUUAUCAUGGGACAUCUGCCAUAUGCUGGCAGGAAGAUGGUCAGUUCUUCUGGGACACAAAGGCCCCCAGAGUCCUGAAGUCAUUAUGGCCUGGCCUCCAUGGUGCACCACCUGCUGGUGGAUGGCUCAGGAUGGUAAGGAUUCCUCUGCCCCGCGUGCUGAGUGGGGGUGUCUUUGGGAAUUCCAAGACUUGCAAGGAGCUGUUUCUUACCAGGCCGCUGAAAGCAUGGCGAAUUCCAUGCCUAAAAUGA
This 532-nucleotide long non-coding RNA is filed under the name Aotus nancymaae (Ma's night monkey). Its description in RNAcentral is "lncRNA (ENSANAG00000038884.1)". Lineage: Eukaryota; Metazoa; Chordata; Mammalia; Primates; Aotidae. The record is from RNAcentral.